ACGGCCACAUUACGUUAAAAUAGCAGUUCCCGUACGAUCACCAAAUUUAAACAACGUCGGGCCUGGUCAGUACUUGGAUGGGUGACCGCUUGAGAAUACCAGGUGCUGUAG
Non-coding RNA from Acanthosepion pharaonis, 111 nucleotides. NCBI's taxonomy places the organism in Eukaryota, Metazoa, Mollusca, Cephalopoda, Sepiida, Sepiidae. The record is from the annotation of a GenBank genome assembly.